UGUCACUUGCUCACCCA
RNAcentral lists this unclassified non-coding RNA (17 nucleotides) under Mus musculus (house mouse). Its description in RNAcentral is "oocyte_clustered_small_RNA12357". The record is from RNAcentral. Lineage: Eukaryota; Metazoa; Chordata; Mammalia; Rodentia; Muridae.